AUGCAUUGUUUGCCCAAGGGCUAACAAGGUCACAUCCUGUAAAUUAUUGGGAGAGUCUUUCAACCUCAGGAAAUGGAUAUUGUCCAACUCCCAAAGAGGGUGCCAUCCCCCAAUAACCCAAGAUAUCUAGGGGUACCAAGCCUAUUAAAUAGAUAUUAGAUAUAUAUAACCAUCAGUGAGGGCUAGUAAAUAAAUCAGGGGUGGUUAACAGGCUUUGGGUGGGGUGUGUUAACUAAAUAACGAGAUGUAAACAUGACAUUGUUCACCCCCACAAAUGAGAGUGCAGUGCCCUGCAUUAACCCCAGGUGUCCUAUUGUCCACAUGCCCCUAGCCAUCCCCUCCAUUGUGAAAUUUCUAUCUGCCUCCUCACCCUAAUAACAGUGAGGGUAGGCACAAUAAAUCGAAUACCUGUAAAUACU
Molecule: non-coding RNA, 419 nt
Organism: Pelobates cultripes (western spadefoot toad)
Lineage: Eukaryota; Metazoa; Chordata; Amphibia; Anura; Pelobatidae
Source: the annotation of a GenBank genome assembly